CCUACGGGAGGCAGCAGUAGGGAAUCUUCCACAAUGGGCGAAAGCCUGAUGGAGCAACGCCGCGUGAGUGAUGAAGGCCUUCGGGUUGUAAAACUCUGUCAUUCGGGACGAACCGGAGUCUGAGGAAAUGCAGACUCUCUGACGGUACCGGAGGAGGAAGCCCCGGCUAACUACGUGCCAGCAGCCGCGGUAAUACGUAGGGGGCAAGCGUUGUCCGGAUUCACUGGGCGUAAAGCGCGCGCAGGCGGUGAUGUAAGUCUGAGGUGAAAACCCGAAGCUCAACUUCGGGACUGCCUUGGAUACUGCGUCACUUGAGGAUAGGAGAGGCAAGGGGAAUUCCACGUGUAGCGGUGAAAUGCGUAGAGAUGUGGAGGAACACCUGUGGCGAAGGCGCCUUGCUGGCCUAUUUCUGACGCUGAGGCGCGAAAGCGUGGGGAGCAAACAGGAUUAGAUACCCUGGUAGUCCACGCUGUAAACGAUGAGUGCUAGGUGUAGGUGGGCUCAUACCCAUCUGUGCCGAAGCUAACGCAUUAAGCACUCCGCCCUGGGGAGUACGGUCGCAAGACUGAAACUUAGAAAGUAGUAGGACGNGNGAGAGCGACGGAGACACACGGGAGGGUAG
This 622-nucleotide ribosomal RNA is filed under the name uncultured bacterium. RNAcentral describes it as "bacterial SSU rRNA". It matches the Rfam family "Bacterial small subunit ribosomal RNA", at positions 338 to 960 of the family's 1533-position model. The record is from RNAcentral.